CUCCUCUUUCCCCAGUGGGCCCCUAAUCGUUUCCUUUGUUUUCUGGACAUUUCAGAGGCCACCAUGAUCUGCAUGACCACCUCCAAAAUUAUCUAUCUGCACAAAAGCGCUGGCAUCAGGCUCUUCCUUCAGGGAAAACCAAGCUAAGACAGUAAGAGUGUGAUGAAAUUCCUGCAGGAAGGAAGAAAGGAGAACAUGAACAUUGGACUUAAUGGAUGAGAGCAGCAGGCUGAGCUAAGCUUAAGUGGAAUAUACAAAGAAGAAGCUCAUUUUAUUGGAGGACUUCUUUAGUUUUUUUUAAAAAAAAUUUAUUUUUUAUUUAUUUAUUUUAUUAUACUUUAAGUUCUGAGGUACACGUGCAGAACAUCCAGGUUUGUUACAUAGGUAUAUGCGUGCCAUGGUGGUUUGCUGCACCCAUCAACCCGUCAUCUACAUUAGGUAUUUCUCCUAAUGCUAUCCCUCCCCUACCCCCCAACCCACCUACAGGCCCUGGUAUGUGAUGUUCCCCUCCCUGUGUCCAUGUGUUCUCAUUGUUCAACUCCCACUUACAAGUAAGAAUAUGCGGUGUUUGGUUUUCUGUUCCUGUGUUAGUUUGCUGAGAGUGAUCGUUUCCAGCUUUAUCCAUGUCCCUGCAAAGGACAUGAAUUCAUCCUUUUUUAUGGCUGCAUAGUAUUCCAUGGUGUAUAUGUGCCACAUUUUCCUUACCCAGUCUAUCAUUGAUGGGCAUUUGGGUUGGUUCCAAGUCUUUGCUAUUGUGAACAGUGCUGCAAUAAACAUACAUGUGCAUAUGUCUUUAUAGUAGAAUGAUUUAUAAUCCUUU
This 820-nucleotide long non-coding RNA is filed under the name Homo sapiens (human). Its description in RNAcentral is "HSALNT0139291". Lineage: Eukaryota; Metazoa; Chordata; Mammalia; Primates; Hominidae. The record is from RNAcentral.